RNAcentral lists this ribosomal RNA (497 nucleotides) under uncultured bacterium. RNAcentral describes it as "partial 16S ribosomal RNA". It matches the Rfam family "Bacterial small subunit ribosomal RNA", at positions 28 to 507 of the family's 1533-position model. The record is from RNAcentral.
GACGAACGCUGGCGGCGUGCCUAAUACAUGCAAGUUGAGCGAUGAAGAUUGGUGCUUGCACCAAUUUGAAGAGCAGCGAACGGGUGAGUAACGCGUGGGGAAUCUGCCUUUGAGCGGGGGACAACAUUUGGAAACGAAUGCUAAUACCGCAUAACAACUUUAAACAUAAGUUUUAAGUUUGAAAGAUGCAAUUGCAUCACUCAAAGAUGAUCCCGCGUUGUAUUAGCUAGUUGGUGAGGUAAAGGCUCACCAAGGCGAUGAUACAUAACCGACCUGAGAGGGUGAUCGGCCACAUUGGGACUGAGACACGGCCCAAACUCCUACGGGAGGCAGCAGUAGGGAAUCUUCGGCAAUGGACGAAAGUCUGACCGAGCAACGCCGCGGGAGUGAAGAAGGUUUUCGGAUCGUAAAACUCUGUUGGUAGAGAAGAACGUUGGUGAGAGUGGAAAGCUCAUCAAGUGACGGUAACUACCCAGAAAGGGACGGCUAACUACGUG